AUGUUUGGGGAACAACAGCUAAGGCCCUGUGGAGCAGCUUACAGGAAAAGAAAACAACACCUGGGAACAGAGGAAUCAGUGAUGGUGAGUUAUCAUUUUAAUCAUUUUUCCUGUAAUGACAUUUUUUCUUUGCCUUUUUGUUUCUUCGACAUGAGCUCUGCAUUGCAAGUGAAAUUUGAAGCAGUUUCAUCAAGGUUAUCAUUUCGGUUAGGAGCAUCUUCCACCAGAUUCACAACCAUUAUAAGUCAAAAGCACAAGCAGGCUGUAUAGUCUGGGGUGUUGUCUGGGAAGGUACAGAAGGUACAUUUUAUUGAAUUGCACAAGGAGUUUUUUGAAGUCCAGGCUGUGCUAAAUAAAUGAUACAUUGCCAGCUGAAAGGUUCA
RNAcentral lists this long non-coding RNA (383 nucleotides) under Anas platyrhynchos platyrhynchos (common mallard). RNAcentral describes it as "lncRNA (ENSAPLG00000022061.1)". The record is from RNAcentral. Lineage: Eukaryota; Metazoa; Chordata; Aves; Anseriformes; Anatidae.